Molecule: unclassified non-coding RNA, 3587 nt
Filed under: Hevea brasiliensis (rubber tree)
Lineage: Eukaryota; Viridiplantae; Streptophyta; Magnoliopsida; Malpighiales; Euphorbiaceae
Source: RNAcentral
GCUCAAGACUCCAAAAGACAACCCUUUCGAGACCAUUUGGUCCCGCCGCAAAUUCGAUGUCCUUGGCAAGAAAAGGGGCAAGGGCGAAGAACGCCGUAUCGGCCUCGCACGAUCCCUCGCUAUCGACAAGAGGAAAAAGACGCUGCUGAAGGAGUUCGAGCAAAGCGGGAAGUCGUCGGUGUUUGUCGACAAACGAAUCGGGGAGAAGAAUGAUGAGCUCGGAGAGUUUGAUAAGGCAAUUAUGCGGUCCCAGCGCGAGCGUCAGUUGAAAUUAAGCAAGAAGAGCAAGUAUAACUUAUCAGACGGGGAAGAAGAAGAUUUAGAAAUUCAGGGCUUUGGUCCCCUUCUAGAGCGGGAUGAUUUUGACGAUGAAAUGCUGUCUGAUGAUGAUAAAGAUGAUGCAGAAGCAGAUGAAACAAGAAGGAAGUCAGCCAACUUAAAGCAACUUAAUGAUCAUGAUACACCAAAUCAAGUAGAGCAGGGCAUGGUGGAAGGGGAAGAAAAUGUGAGACCUACCCUGUUACUUCAGUUUUGGGUCUUCAAUCAUCAUGUUCAAAUUUGAGAAAUUAUAUAUUAUUCCUAUUACUAAAAUUUUUGGCCUUAGAAUUCAAUGAGAUAUUUCUGCAAGUCUGUUUAACAUAAUUGUGUUUAGCUGUUCUAUUCAAUUAAAAUUUUGGUGGGAAUGCCAGAUGAUGCCUUGUCCCUGAUUUAAUGUCCCUGAUUUAAGGUAUGAGUGUAUGACUUUCCAAUUGCAGAAGCACAAAACCAAGAAGGAAGUAAUGGAGGAGGUUAUUUUGAAGAGCAAGUUCUUCAAGGUGCAGAACUCUUUGUCUCACUGAAACUGCUUACAAAAUGAGACUAUGUCUUUGUUCUGAUGUUGUUACAUAAUUUUUUUUUGGACAUAUUGUGCCAGGCUCAAAAAGCAAAAGACAAGGAAGAAAAUGAAAAGUUGAUGGAAGAAUUGGAUAAAAGCUUCACAUCUUUAGUACAGUCUAAGGUCUUGUUAUCUUUGACUGAACCUGGCAAGAUGAAUGCCUUGAAGGCGCUUGUGAAUCAGAGCAUUCCUAAUGAGCAUGUGAAGAAGGAUGAUUUAUUAGUUACUCAAAAACCAGAAGCUUUUAGUCAGGGAAAACCUGAUUCUUAUGAUAAACUUGUCAAAGAGAUGUCAUUGGAUAUUCGUGCUUAUCCAUCAGACAGGACAAAGACACCAGAGGAGAUUGCCCAGGAGGAGAGAGAACGACUAGAGCGAUUAGAGGAAGAGCGACAGAAACGGAUGCUUGCAACUAAUGAUUCAAGUGAUGAGGAGAAUGAUGAUAUUGAAAUGCCAUUGACCCAGAGGCCAAGAUCAAUAUCUGGGGAUGAUCUAGGUGAUUCCUUUUCUUUCCAUGAAGAGCCUAAGGCUAGAAAGGGCUGGGUUGAUGAGAUUCUUGAACGAAGGGAUGUGGAUGGCUCUGAGAACGAAGAUGAUAAUUCUUCUGAAGAUUCAGAAAGUGCUGAAGAUGAUGGUGAUAAUGAAGGAUCUGAUGAAAGUGAUAAUAGUGAAGAUAAGGAUGAAAGUGAUAAAACUCUGUCGUUGAAGGACUGGGAGCAGAGUGAUGAUGAUAAUCUUGGAACAGAAUUGGAAGAUGAUGAAGAAGAGUACAAUGACAAACUUGAUGAUGAAGAUGAAGCAAUAGAGCCCAGAGGCUACAAGAAGUCAAAGAAAAAUGACAAUGUUGAGACUAGAGAAGGAAACGGCGAAUCUUUGGCUGCAAAGAACAUAAAGCACUGUUCAACUGAAAAAGAAAUUCCCUUUUUAAUUGAAGCCCCAAAGAGCUUUGAAGAACUGUGUGCAUUAUUGGAUAAUUGUUCUAAUGCUAAUGUUAUGGUAGUAAUCAAUCGAAUUCGAGCAAGCAAUGCUAUAAAACUUGCUGCUGAAAAUCGGAAGAAAAUGCAAGUAUUUUAUGGUGUAUUAUUGCAGUAUUUUGCUGUCUUAGCAAAUAGAAAGCCAUUGAACUUUGAGUUGUUAAAUUUUCUGGUUAAGCCACUGAUAGAGAUGAGCAUGGAGAUUCCAUACUUUUCUGCAAUAUGUGCUCGUCAGCGGAUCUUGCAUACUCGAACACAAUUUUGUGAAUCUCUUAAGAAUUCAGAGAAUGGUUGUUGGCCUUCCAUGAAAACAUUGUGUCUCUUGAGGUUGUGGUCAAUGAUUUUUCCAUGCUCUGACUUACGUCAUGUUGUCAUGACCCCAGCAAUAUUAUUGAUGUGUGAAUAUCUGAUGCGUUGCCCCAUCAUGUCUGGUCGUGAUAUUGCAGUUGGUUCUUUCUUAUGCUCUAUGGUUCUCUCUGUACGUACACUCUGGUCCAAAAAUUUUCCCUCCAUUUUUUUUCUAAUGAACCUUGUGCAAAAUGCUUCAUUUUAUUUUAACCUUGGGCACCUCUUCUUUAGGCCACAGGUUUUUUCAUCUUGCAGUUGGUUUUGGGCACACUUAACAGUCAUGACAUCCGUGUCCUCCUCCUGCAUUUAUCUCUAUGUUAUUUCUUAUUUAAUAUGAAGUAUAAACUUUUCACUUUCAAGCAUCCUGCUAUCGUGAUGCUUAAUAUCAUACAAUUUUAGCUUGCAUUAUACUGUCUACUUAGCCAUAAUGACAGCAGCUUGGUUAAAAUCAUAUGUUAGUACCACUUGCAUGACCUUUUUUUUUUCCCAUUCUUGCAGUUUUAAGCUAUUAAUGUGAUCCAUUUGUUGCAGGUCGUUAAACAAUCUAAGAAAUUCUGUCCUGAAGCCAUAAUGUUUCUCCAAUCACUGCUAAUGACAGCUAUUGAAAGAAAACAAGCAUCUUAUCAUGAAUCUCAGUUUUAUCAUCUUGUGGAACUAAAAGCACUUGGGCCCGUGCUAUUUAUUCGCCAUUGUGUAAAUGAGAUUAGUCCUCUGAAUUUCUUUAUGAUAAUGGACAUGCCAGAGGACUCUGCCUUUUUAAGUUCAGAUAAUUUCAGGGCUAGUGUGCUAGUUACUGUGAUAGAAACUCUACAGGGAUACGUUGAUGUUUAUGAAGGGCUGAAUUCCUUCCCUGAAAUAUUCUUGCCAAUUUCGACAUUGUUACUUGAAGUGGCAAAACAGGAACACUUGCCAGCAGCAUUACAAGAUAAAUAUAAAAAUGUUGCUGAACUUAUUAAGAAGAAAGCUGAACAAUAUACACAGCGGCUACCACUUCAAAUGCGGAAGAAGAAGCCACUGCCCAUCAAACUACUUACCCCAAAAUUUGAGGAGAACUUUGUUAAGGGUAGAGAUUAUGAUCCAGAUCGUGAACGGGCUGAAGGAAGAAAGUUAAAGAAACAACUAAAAAGAGAAGCUAAAGGGGCAGCUCGCGAACUGCGAAAGGACAAUUAUUUCUUAUAUGAAGUGAAGGAAAAAGAAAAAGCUUUAAUGGAAGAAGAAAGAGCAGAGAAGUAUGGACAGAGCAGGGCUUUCCUCCAAGAGCAAGAACAUGCUUUCAAAUCUGGACAGCUAGGAAAAGGCAGUAAGAGAAGAAGAUGAUUUUAUAUGUUUGUCCUACUUGCUUGUUUCCUUUGUAGUUUUUCUUAUUACUGAAAUCAUAUUUCCCACAUGAUUUU